AGUGAACGCUGGCGGUAGGCCUAACUCAUGCAAGUCGAACGGCAGCACAGUAAGAGCUUGCUCUUACGGGUGGCGAGUGGCGGACGGGUGAGGAAUACAUCGGAAUCUACUUUUUCGUGGGGGAUAACGUAGGGAAACUUACGCUAAUACCGCAUACGACCUACGGGUGAAAGCAGGGGAUCUUCGGACCUUGCGCGAUUGAAUGAGCCGAUGUCGGAUUAGCUAGUUGGCGGGGUAAAGGCCCACCAAGGCGACGAUCCGUAGCUGGCCUGAGAGGAUGGUAGGCCACACUGGAACUGAGACACGGUCAAUACUCCUACGGGAGGCAGCAGUGGGGAAUAUUGGACAAUGGGCGCAAGCCUGAUCCAGCCAUACCGCGUGGGUGAAGAAGGCCUUCGGGUUGUAAAGCCCUUUUGUUGGGAAAGAAAAGCAGCAGGUUAAUACCCCGCUGUUCUGACGGUACCCAAAGAAUAAGCACCGGCUAACUUCGUG
RNAcentral lists this ribosomal RNA (492 nucleotides) under uncultured bacterium. Its description in RNAcentral is "partial 16S ribosomal RNA". It matches the Rfam family "Bacterial small subunit ribosomal RNA", at positions 29 to 507 of the family's 1533-position model. The record is from RNAcentral.